RNAcentral lists this ribosomal RNA (504 nucleotides) under uncultured Chryseobacterium sp. RNAcentral's name for it is "bacterial SSU rRNA". It matches the Rfam family "Bacterial small subunit ribosomal RNA", at positions 521 to 1029 of the family's 1533-position model. Lineage: Bacteria; Pseudomonadati; Bacteroidota; Flavobacteriia; Flavobacteriales; Weeksellaceae. The record is from RNAcentral.
UAAUACGGAGGGUGCAAGCGUUAUCCGGAUUUAUUGGGUUUAAAGGGUCCGUAGGCGGACUUGUAAGUCAGUGGUGAAAUCUCAUAGCUUAACUAUGAAACUGCCAUUGAUACUGCAGGUCUUGAGUAAAUUUGAAGUGGCUGGAAUAAGUAGUGUAGCGGUGAAAUGCAUAGAUAUUACUUAGAACACCAAUUGCGAAGGCAGGUCACUAAGAUUUAACUGACGCUGAUGGACGAAAGCGUGGGUAGCGAACAGGAUUAGAUACCCUGGUAGUCCACGCCGUAAACGAUGCUAACUCGUUUUUGGAUUUUUAAGAUUCAGAGACCAAGCGAAAGUGAUAAGUUAGCCACCUGGGGAGUACGUUCGCAAGAAUGAAACUCAAAGGAAUUGACGGGGGCCCGCACAAGCGGUGGAUUAUGUGGUUUAAUUCGAUGAUACGCGAGGAACCUUACCAAGACUUAAAUGGGAAUUGACAGAUUUAGAAAUAGAUCCUUCUUCGGACAA